CCGUAGGGGCGGCGGGCAGGGCCGCCUUCCCUUCUCCCGCAAGGAAAGAGGUGCUGCUACCGCCCCUCGCGGUACCACAUCGAGCCCAUGGCC
RNAcentral lists this transfer RNA (93 nucleotides) under Mesorhizobium tianshanense. Its description in RNAcentral is "tRNA-Gly". Lineage: Bacteria; Pseudomonadati; Pseudomonadota; Alphaproteobacteria; Hyphomicrobiales; Phyllobacteriaceae. The record is from RNAcentral.